Molecule: long non-coding RNA, 792 nt
Organism: Marmota monax (woodchuck)
Lineage: Eukaryota; Metazoa; Chordata; Mammalia; Rodentia; Sciuridae
Exons: 3
Source: RefSeq, a predicted model, not a curated record
UCUAUUUUUUAAUGCCUAGAUUUCAGGGGGUUUCAGAUCUGGAAACUUGAAAAUCAUUUUGUUGCUGUUAUACAGAUUUUUUUUUGCCCAUAUUAAAUUUUAAUUCCGAGUCUGUUUUUGCUUUUCCUUUAUUUCUACCUUUUUCCCUCCCCUCACAACUUCCUUCUGAUACUCCUGUCUUUGUUUUCUUCCUCUUAAUAAUCAGGUUGCCUUCAAACUGUUUCAGAAAACUCCAUGGCAUGACGGACUAGAUCUAUUUUGUGGAACAGCAAUUCUGAGAAUGCCAUAUCAAAGCUAGCACCUACCUUUUGGCUUCCAUGAACCCGACAUUUAGAGACAAAGUUGACAACUGGAUCUCAGGCUGACAGAGCUAAGCAGCUUCAUUUUCACAUUGGGAGAGCAGCUCAGUGAACUUCCUCUGCCUACUUUAUCAUCACGAACCACGGCCAUGACAUCCAGCAUAGGCACUGGGUGGACGAGAGGCUACACAAGACAAUGAGGCGCAAUGAGUGGGUUCCCAAAUCACACUGCCUGAGUCCUCUUCCUGGCUGCCAUUUAUUAGCUGUGUAACCAAGGGUAUGUGUCCCACUUGUUCUGUCUGUCAAGGGGGGUGAUUGUACAAACUACAGGUACUGAUGUGAAGAGUAAUUGAGUUAAUAUAUAAAAAGAGAUUAGAAAGAGCUGGGCACAUAAUAAAACACUCCACGGAAGUUAGCUAUGAUUAUAUAGUAUUUUCCAAUUAUUUAUUUAAAAACAAAUGGGAUUAGUCCAAAAGUACAGGCUUGCCUUCUA